This 364-nucleotide ribosomal RNA is filed under the name uncultured eukaryote. Its description in RNAcentral is "partial 18S ribosomal RNA". It matches the Rfam family "Eukaryotic small subunit ribosomal RNA", at positions 592 to 976 of the family's 1831-position model. The record is from RNAcentral.
CAAAAGCGUAUAUUAAAGUUGUUGCAGUUAAAAAGCUCGUAGUUGACCCUUGGGCUUGGCUGGCCGGUCCAUCUUUUUUGAUGCGUACUGGACCCAGCCGAGCCUUUCCUUCUGGCUAGCCUUUUGGCGAACCAGGACUUUUACUUUGAAAAAAUUAGAGUGUUCAAAGCAGGCCUUUGCUCGAAUAUAUUAGCAUGGAAUAAUAGAAUAGGACGUUAUGGUUCUAUUUUGUUGGUUUCUAGGACCAUCGUAAUGAUUAAUAGGGACGGUCGGGGGUAUCAGUAUUCAGUUGUCAGAGGUGAAAUUCUUGGAUUUACUGAAGACUAACUACUGCGAAAGCAUUUACCAAGGACGUUUUCAUUAA